AGUUUAACACCACUUGAACCCCCUCUCUUCCUCUCUUGGAGCCAGCCCCAAACACCCACACAAACACACCAAUUUCUUUUUAUUUUGGAGAAGAUCUAGCAAGCAUAAGCACUAAUCAAGAGGAUCCAAGGUGUUUGUAAGAAGGAUAUGGAGUUUGAAGCUUUGUGAUUUACUGUGAAAAGAAGAAAAGUUCUAUGAAGUACUCAAGAAUAAAUAAGUGGUUAUGUAAACCUGAAUAAAACAUGGUUUUGUAAUCAAGAACUUAUCCUCGUGAAAAUCAUCUAUGUAAAUACGGGUUCUACCGCACAGUUUAAGAAAUGAAGAAUUAGUGUUUUAAAACUCUGAUAUUUUUCCUGACACCCGAUCCUGAUAAGUUUUCUACUGCGAUAAUUUAAUAAACACCGGUACCACUUGUAUCUGUUCA
Molecule: long non-coding RNA, 424 nt
Filed under: Helianthus annuus (common sunflower)
Lineage: Eukaryota; Viridiplantae; Streptophyta; Magnoliopsida; Asterales; Asteraceae
Source: RNAcentral